RNAcentral lists this ribosomal RNA (467 nucleotides) under uncultured bacterium. RNAcentral describes it as "bacterial SSU rRNA". It matches the Rfam family "Bacterial small subunit ribosomal RNA", at positions 8 to 521 of the family's 1533-position model. The record is from RNAcentral.
AGAGUUUGAUCCUGGCUCAGAACGUACGCUGGCGGCACGCCUAACACAUGCAAGUCGAACGCAGUAGCAAUACUGAGUGGCAAACGGGUGAGUAUAAUGUGGGAAUCUGCCUUUUGGUUUGGAAUAACACGGGGAAACUUGUGCUAAUACCGAAUAAGCCUUUACAGGGAAAGUUUUAACGCCGAAAGAUGAGCCCGCACUUGAUUAGCUAGUUGGUAAGGUAAAAGCUUACCAAGGCAAUGAUCAAUAGCUGUUCUUAGAGGAAGACCAGCCACAUUGGGACUGAGACACGGCCCAGACUCCUACGGGAGGCAGCAGUGGGGAAUCUUGCACAAUGGGGGAAACCCUGAUGCAGCGAUGCCGCGUGAGUGAAGAAGGCCCUUGGGUUGUAAAACUCUUUCGUCGGGGAAGAAAAUGACUGUAUCCGAAUAAGAAGGUCCGGCUAACUUCGUGCCAGCCGCCGCGGU